UUGCUUAUUCAGAUAAAUGUAGGCAGUCUAUCUGCAUCAAAAUACUUUGGUUCAAUAAAUCGAGAAAUAUUUGAACUAUCGUUGGUAGAAUCCUUUCAUAUAGAUCAAAUCACACUGAUCUUCCUCUCAGUUAGGAUUUACUCUAAUCUCUCAACCCCUUAUUUCUGUUACUUGACUCACUUCUCCGACCCAGACACCCUGGUCACCCAAAAAAUAAGGAAAAUGGAAAAAUCAGCACUAGAAGACUGCAUGUCACCUGAUGAAGCUACUUUACAUGCGGAAACUUAGAAGGUAUUUGCUUUGACACACACACACACACACACACACACACACACACACAAGGGAAUUACUGAUAUUAAAUCUAUCCAUUUCUACACUAACAGCAACAGGAAGGAUUUAUAUGGAGCUUAAUUCCAUAUUUUGCCCGUAAAAUUUGUCAUAACAAGCAAUAAGACCAAAAUAAUUAAUGGAUGGAAAAUCUUUUACUGACUCAGUGCAGUGUUUGACCACUAAGAACAAAAGGUCACAAAGUAAGUAAAAUAUAUUUUAAAAAAAUAAAAAACUAUUGUGAGGAAAAAAAAUUCAAAAUCUGUGCUAGGAAACUGAAACAAAGAAUAUAGAAAAUAAUUGCAAAAGCCCCUGAACGGUGGAAGUUCUACAAAAUUAAACAUAAAGAUUUCACAAUUGCCUAAUAAUGCUGCCCCCAUUUUGAUCAAUUUCCCAAAAUAAAUCCCUGCCCCUAUUUUGAUCAAGUUCACAAAAUAAAUCACACAAUAUAUUGAAUAUAAAAUUUAUAAUAAAUAAUAUUAUCUCCUGUGAUAUUCAUCAGAAAUAACCUAAACUCCAAAAUUCACACAACACACCGUAAAAUCCCAGAAAAGUAAACUACUUGUUCUGGUUCACAAAUGAACUCGCUGAUGACCACAGUUACAAAAAAUAUAUAAUAAUAAUAAUAAUAAAAAAUAAAAAAUAAUAAUCAUAGUCCAGGAGUAUACAGAUUACCAAGAGAGAAUUUCCAGAUAAUGAGAUACAGAAUACAAACUAAUAUUUGUAAAAUUGCAAAGUUAAGGAAGAAAAAAGAGUGAAUUACCACUGGUGGCGUUGCAGAGAGAGUGAGGGGUUCUGAGUUUUAAGUUCAUGAUGCACUGCCACGUAUGACCAUAAAAAAUAUUUUAUUAGGAAUCCUUUCAGAUGGCAUGCAGACAAAAAAAAUAUCAUUUGUUUAAGAAUUUACAAAUACUUUAUCAUGUGGCAUCUUAAUGGAAUAGAAGAUCAGGUUAGAAUUUACAAAUACUUUAUCGUGCGUUGCACAUGCAGUGGGUAUUGCAGUGUAAAUAAUAAUGUUGAAAUUUUAUCAUGUGGCAUCUUAAUGGAAAAGAAGAUCAGGUUAGAAGGAUGAUUACAUUAUUAGAUUAUAAAAUAUUUGUCCACAAGUAGUUACAUUGGCAAAAGUAGUAUGAAGUACAAAACAGAGUUCUUAGGUGCCAUACACAGAGAUGUUACAUGCCGUUCAUGGGUACAUGGUUUCUAACAUGUUAAUAUGGACAACAGACAAAAUUCAGUAUGGCAAAUAGAGAUACUGUGAAUCAGGUUUGCUCGACUGUGGACAUAAGCGUGCAAAAGAAAUACAAAAUAUGUAUUUUUACGUCCUGAACAACUACUCUUGCGUUUGUUUUUUGUUUGCAUGGUUGUGAGCUUCAUGUGAAGUGCCUGGUUGUAUGAUGUUGGUGAGUAACUGGUCGUCAUCUUGGAGGUGUGAGUCAAUGAUGAAGAUGACUUCAUAUGGUGCCUUGUUGGUGGUUGUCUCCAUAGUUACAGUUUUGAUGUAUAUGAUGUGCUCAUUUGCAGUUGGUGGUGGUAUUGUAGCUGCUUUCCAUAUGUUCUUGCUGUGAUGUUCAUUAGAAGUAGUUAAUAGUAUAUUUAUUGGAAAGAAAAGAUUAGUAGGCAGGAAAAUAUAAUUUUGAGAUAGUUACCUCAGAAUCUUGUUUCAUCGGUUUCGUUGCUAGGCAUUUGAGGAAUGUUUCAGCUGGUUUUCCAAUAAUUGAUGCUGUGAUUGAUCCUGUAGAGUCCUGCAAUUGAAAGACUACUCUUGCUCUGUUAGAGUACAAGUGGAAUCAUUGUUAGUGUUUUGAGAUGUAUUUGAUUAUCAUUAGAUGAUGAAUAAUGCAUCUAUUCGCAUAGAUGAUGUACUUGUGACUUGAAUAUAAUCUGACCUUAGAAUUGGUGUAGCAUAGUUGUGCUUGCAGAAUCUACAGAAAUAAGUUUCGUUCACAGCUCCACUUGCAGAUUUGUUGCAAUUGUCACAUGAUGGAUCCCAUAGUGGUUGGUUUAUUUCAGCCAAUGUGACAUUUUCUCUUGUCCAGAAGUGUCGUUUCUGCAAUGUAUAUAAUAACAUGUGUAAGAAAAAUAUGUGUUGGGGAUAGAUGUAGAAUGUAAAUGAGAAGGUAUAGUGAUUUGGUGUACCAUAUGUUGGAGUUGUUGAAGUUGUUUGAUGUUGACUAACUUUUCUUCUGGUGGGCAAGAAAUUGUGGUGGAUGUGGGGAAGAUAUACGCCUUUCUUGUCAUGAUGUAAUUUACUGUGCUCAUGUUGUCCUUUAACCUGAUGUUGAUGUGAAAAUGAAAUUGUUAGAAGUAAAUAAGGAAAUUAAGAGUAAUAAUUACAAUAGAUGUAAGUAUGUAAGUGGAAAAGUGAAAGAAUGUACCAACGCUUUAGUUCAAGAACUUGCUCAAAUGGGGGAUUAAUGAGUAUUGAUGAGUUGAUUUUUGUAGAGACGGAUAUACCUAAAUAGAGAGUGAAUUGAGUUUUUACAUGUAAGGUUUAAAAUCAUGUCAGUAUGAUUGUGUACAAGGAGUUAAUUUACCAUUGAAAGAAGUUACUCUUAAUUUGUUGCUCACGACAAUUGGUUUUUUGGUGAUUGUGUUGUGGAUGGUAUUACAUUCAUUUGUGAUGAAAUUGUCCCACAUCUGAAGCAUGCGUGUUUCAAACCUGUAAAGUUUCAAAUUAUAUUUAAUAUGUAAUAAAUAAAAGAGUUAUUUUGGGGCUGACAAUAGUAAAUGUGUGACAAAAGUAAAUGUUUUAUCGUUCGUUCAUGAGAAUAACAUCUUGUACUGUUGAUUAGUUGUCACGAAUUUGAAUUACUCUUUUAGGGAAGAUGUCGACUGCUAUUCCAGUGAUGCCCACGAGAAAUAAUAUGGGUUAGUAAUAAGUGUAGGUUGUAAUUUAUGUUUGAGAUAGAAGCAAUGAAGUGUAAGGUAUUAAUGGGAUUGCAAAUACUUACUGAUUUCUGCAUUUGUAUCCAUGUAGGCUGAAGAUCUCCGAAUCAUAUGAACUUGUAAGCUGAUGAAAGGAGGUUAACAAUUGUUCGUUGACUUCAACAACGUUGGUUUUUGCACUGAUUGUCCAUCGGAUGUCACCAAAUUGGGCUCUAUAAUUUGUAUCUGUUUCUUUAACUUGUGCAUUUGAGACGAGGUAUGUCUUGUGUGGUAGUAAGGUAUCUUCGAAAGCUGUGAUAGAGC
This 3516-nucleotide long non-coding RNA is filed under the name Olea europaea (common olive). RNAcentral describes it as "long non-coding RNA (OEUR_LNC001346)". The record is from RNAcentral. Lineage: Eukaryota; Viridiplantae; Streptophyta; Magnoliopsida; Lamiales; Oleaceae.